RNAcentral lists this ribosomal RNA (526 nucleotides) under Emerita emeritus. RNAcentral's name for it is "partial 16S ribosomal RNA". It matches the Rfam family "Bacterial large subunit ribosomal RNA", at positions 1819 to 2598 of the family's 2925-position model. The record is from RNAcentral. Lineage: Eukaryota; Metazoa; Arthropoda; Malacostraca; Decapoda; Hippidae.
GUCUAUAUGAGUAAAUAAUAUAUAGUCUGGCCUGCCCACUGGUGAAGAUCUAAAGGGCCGCAGUAUCUUGACUGUGCAAAGGUAGCAUAAUCAUUAGUCUUUUAAUUGAGGACUUGUAUGAACGGUUGGACGAGAAAUAAUCUGUUUCUUUUGCAAAUUUUGAACUUAACUUUUAAGUGAAAAGGCUUAAAUAAUUUAGAGGGACGAUAAGACCCUAUAAAUCUUAAUAUUUUAUUAUUAAGUAUUUUUUUAAUUAAGUUNNNNNUAUAGAUGCUUAAUAUGAUAGUAUUUUACUGGGGCGGUAUAAAUAAAAAUAGUAACUGUUUAAUUUGUAUUCAGAAAUAUCUGGUAAUUAAUAGAUCCUUGUUUAGAGAUUGAAAGUUUAAGUUACUUUAGGGAUAACAGCGUUAUUUUUUUUAAGAGUUCAUAUCUAAAAAAAAGUUUGCGACCUCGAUGUUGAAUUAAAUUNNUCUUUGUNGGUGUAGCANCUACANNNNGGAGAAGCUGUUCGACUUNUAAANNUUUA